CCUGUCGUCAAACUGUUGCUGUGAUGUGCAUUUAGUUAUUGUCAUAUCACAGCCAGCUUUGAUGAGCAGGA
Molecule: microRNA precursor, 71 nt
Filed under: Stegodyphus mimosarum
Lineage: Eukaryota; Metazoa; Arthropoda; Arachnida; Araneae; Eresidae
Description: mir-2 microRNA precursor
Rfam family: mir-2 microRNA precursor family
About the family: The miRNAs are transcribed as ~70nt precursors (modelled here) and subsequently processed by the Dicer enzyme to give a ~22nt product. In this case the mature sequence comes from the 3' arm of the precursor.
Source: Rfam by way of RNAcentral